UCCUUCGUCGCCAUCUUUGAAAUUUGAAGAGGAGAGAGUAAAACGUUCUGGUGGGAAGAAUGCCUUUAAUACAAGAAGCAAAGAUUAUUACAAGACAUUAUUCAAAGAUAGCAAGGCUAUGGGUUCCAACCAUCGGUGCAUGGGGGACUGCUGGAGGUGCAGUUUUACUCUAUCUCACUGACUGGAAGGUCAUCAUGAAACACGUCCCUUAUGUUGGCAAGAAAUAUGAUCAUGAAUCACCACGGUAGUAGUCUAACUAUUGAGGUACCAAAUAUCUUUACUAUUGAAGAGAUGACUGUCUUUGCUGUAUUAGGAAAUUAUGUAAUUUUGACAUUGGUGUCUCUGCUGCUGAGAAGCACUUGGAUUGUCAUUUUGCCUUUUUCUGCAUUAAUUUUGCUUAAUUUAUUAGAGCUGUCAUUUUUGCUAAAAUUUACUGAAGCAGAAUGAAUGUGGAAUAAAUGCUUAAACUUUU
This is a long non-coding RNA of Actinia tenebrosa (Australian red waratah sea anemone), 472 nucleotides long. The record is from RefSeq and is a predicted model, not a curated record. NCBI's taxonomy places the organism in Eukaryota, Metazoa, Cnidaria, Anthozoa, Actiniaria, Actiniidae.